Long non-coding RNA from Lolium rigidum, 1936 nucleotides. RefSeq lists it as uncharacterized. The transcript is spliced from 3 exons. Lineage: Eukaryota; Viridiplantae; Streptophyta; Magnoliopsida; Poales; Poaceae. The record is from RefSeq and is a predicted model, not a curated record.
UAGUAGGAAGUAAAGUUCUCUGAUGGAACUAAAAUAGAUGGUACUUUUAGUACCUCUAAUUAGAUGGUAAAUGUCCCAGUUGUAGGCAUAUGGACAUCAUGUGUGUGUUCCGCCGCCCGUUCCUUCCGGCUGGCCCUUUUCCUUGCCGACCUGUAGCGCCGUCUCCGCCUCUUGGGCACUCAUCUCCUCCCCCAUUCCUUCUGGCCGCCCCCUUCCUUGCCGACCUGUAGCGCCAUCUCCGCCUCUUGGGCACCCACCUCGGGCACGGAGGAGGCGCCGCCUGUGAGUGAGAGCACCUCGCGGCCGCGGGCUGCACGCACCGACCAUGGAGGAUGCCCCGUCCCUGUCGCCAGUAGCAUCCCUCGCUGCCUGGAUUCAUCGCGGUGAUGCCGGUCUCAUCUCCGUGUCUCCAGCAACGGCGUCGUUGUUUCCUGCUGGCCGGCAGCGUCCUUGUGGUCGCGUCUACAUCCUCCUCGUUCACCGUCACAUCCUUGUUGUCACCGCCAACAUCACUGGUCUCCGGACACAAGACCUCCUUCACUGCUUCAUCCUUGCUUAUGCUAGAUACUCCUGAGGGUAAGGUAUGCAUUUCUGCACAGUUAUUUCUGACCAAAUUGUGUAGCAGUCGGUAAUGUUACAUGCAUUUUUUGUGCUGCAAAGUACAUGGUGAGAAGCGUAGUUGAAUUAGUAGAUAGAACAUGGAACCCAACCAACUAUGUUAAUGUAAAGUUUUUGAUGCAAAUGGAACAACUUUUUCCAUCAGGAACAAGGCCCAUCAGCAUUUGUUUUGUGUUACAUGUACUAGUUGAAUUAGUGGAUUGAACCAAUUAUGUCCAGGUAACUAUUUUUUGCAGCAGAUGUAACCAAUGUUUCAUUAGGUGUAAGGCCGAUCAGCAUUUGUUUUUGUGUUACAUGCAGUAGUUAAAUUAGUGGAUGGACAAAUUAUGUCCAUGUAACCUCUUUUUGCAGCAGAUGGAACCAAUUUUUCAUUAGUUGUAAGGCCGAUCAGCAUUUGUUUUACGUUACAUGCAGUAGGCUAGCACAUACAGUGAUAGCAGCCACAACACAUUGGUAAUUGAGUAGUAAACAGUGCUCUGGAACACACACAUAUUGGUUACUUAUAUCACCCUGUACCUGUCAUUUCCUACUUCCAGUCACUAGGAUUUGCCUUGUGUCUUGGUAAGGGAAGUUCAAGAAGUAAUUCUGGAGCCUAGAUGGUUCAUCAAUGCUUUCCGGUUGAUAGCAACAUGCAGCGAUCUUACUUGUCAGGACUCUUCUGGGUGCAGUGAGAAACUUGGUUGAAGAUUAUGAUCACCAGAAAACAAAGCUUGGCUCACCUCACGCGGUGGAGGAGACACUGGAGGUUAUCUCGGUUGCAGCCCAGGAUGUGACCUUGUCAGUUAGGAGAAUGAGUAGCUCCAUGGCAAACUAGGAGCAGAAACGGUUGAAUUCAGCGUCUUGAAAUCUGGAGAAGUCCCAGGUUUCUGGCAAGGUCGGCAAGACGGCAGCUAGCUCACGGCAAGACGGCGGGGUUCUGGCAAUGUUGGCAAGACAUCGGAGAACUCAUAGCAAGAUGACGGUGAACUCACGGCAAGACGGUGGGGUUCCAGCAAGGUCGGCAAAACUGGCGACGUACUCCAGUGAGACCGGCAGUAUUCCGGCGAGUUACAUUGCCAUGUUUUAACCCGUAAAGAAUAAUCUACCUAGUUGUUCUUCACCCAAGUCGUGAUACAUUGGCAUGUAUUUUUUUCGAUCGCUCUGGCUAAAGCACGGACAUGUAACUACUCUAGCAUCCUACUGGAUGUAACUCUAACUCCUGUUUGGAUGUAACAAAGUAGUUGCAUCAGAUCAGGCUAGAACUUUUUUGCAACAAUGUAAUAGGUGGUACAGGAGCUCCACCGAUGUAUUCUUUCUGGAAACAACAAUUUUUUUGAUG